GCUUUAAGUCAUAAGACCACCAUGGCUAGUUUGAAAGUAUCACCUCUAUCCAGGGUGUAUGAGUUGAGGGCAUUGCAUGCUAAUUUAGAGUUUAAUGAUGAGGGGCGAAUGGUAGCUACUUGGCAAGUGGAGCCAAUGCUGAUUGAUCAGAUUAAAAUAGCUGCUCAGAAUGAUGAAAACAUUUGAAAUUGAUGGAAGAAGCUCGGGAUGGCAUGAAACCUAGAUUUUCAGUGAAUGACGAUGGCUUACUACUAUACCAGGAUAGAAUGUUAUCCCAAAUGAUGUUGAAUUGAGGCAAGUCAUUAUGAAGGAAGCACAU
This 319-nucleotide unclassified non-coding RNA is filed under the name Hevea brasiliensis (rubber tree). The record is from RNAcentral. Lineage: Eukaryota; Viridiplantae; Streptophyta; Magnoliopsida; Malpighiales; Euphorbiaceae.